UAUUAAAAAAUUCAUUUAUUUGUAUUGUUAAAAAUUAACGUGGUUGAUCGGAUAACUAAACAUUGACAUGUAUAUCGUGUGUACCUUGUUUUGACGUAUAAUGACCAGUUUUUAACAGCAGAAACGAAUAAAAUUUACCC
This 140-nucleotide microRNA precursor is filed under the name Gossypium hirsutum (cotton). Its description in RNAcentral is "MIR7502 microRNA precursor family". It matches the Rfam family "MIR7502 microRNA precursor family". The record is from Rfam by way of RNAcentral. Lineage: Eukaryota; Viridiplantae; Streptophyta; Magnoliopsida; Malvales; Malvaceae.